Myxocyprinus asiaticus (Chinese sucker) is the source of this 1791-nucleotide long non-coding RNA. RefSeq lists it as uncharacterized. NCBI's taxonomy places the organism in Eukaryota, Metazoa, Chordata, Actinopteri, Cypriniformes, Catostomidae. The transcript has 6 exons. The record is from RefSeq and is a predicted model, not a curated record.
CAAAAAAAACGUUAAAAAUUCCAUACGUUCAAUGCAAUAUGGGGAAGGUUGACUGAAAUCUUCAAAAAGAACAGCAGGACACGUCCUGUGCGCCACACUGUCUGGAAGACCCCACCUUUGUUGGAGCAAACUAAGAGCAAAUGUACAGAUCGACUACCCUCUCGAGUCGAGAGGUUAGUGGUAUGGACUUCAUAGAGUCAGAGGUGCCAUUCAACAACUAAAAGCUCCCAUCCCGCCGAGCUCUCCAACCGGCUGGAUUCUGAGGGAGAGAUGCUGAGGUAAUGGUUUCCUUAUGGGCUCCUGGCGCAAGAGUGAUGGGCUGACAGAAGGCAUGGGAGCAACAGUCUGCACUGCAGGCAAAUUCUUACUGGUGGCUCCUCCAUUCACAAAGCUAGAGGAGGAGGAUGUUGACGUGUCUGUGGCUCCUGUGAGACAAGACAGGAAUCUCAGAGUCCUGUGCAGCAGGGAGCCAGUGAUAGAUACAUCACAGGAAUGGACUGUCAUCCUGUGAAUCCACAAGCUGUCACAGGACAUCUGAGGAUGGGAAAUCUAUUACGCAGCCAUCAAUCGACUUGUCAGAGAUGAGUGUCCUUCCAUAAGCAAAUACAACAAGCUGAGGGGAAAUGCUGAGGGGCAUGUUCUGAUGAUUUUUUGCUGUAAGGGCAGCUUGGCUCAAUUCUACCUAAAACCAGAUUACUUUCCCUGGUGCUUAAGCAGAUCUGAAUAAGUUGAUGCAGCAGCAAAGAUGUUUGGGGUGCUACCAGAGGCCAAGGCACUGCUGGAGCCAGAACUCCCCACUGUGUUCACCAUCAGAGGCUUCUUGGCCUGUACCACCACACUCCUGUUCGAGAAAGGAACAAGAGGUUGUAGACAAACUCUUUGAGUUUACUUUGGAUUCAAGUGAUUCGAUGGAGCAGGCAAAAUUUCCUCGCAACCUGGGCAAAAUAAGAGCAAUAACCUCAACCUGCAUUUCCGGUAGCUGCAGAUUAGAUCUGCACAGCGUUCAGAAGGAAUUUUGGACCAUUCUUCCAUACAGAACUGCUCAAUGAUGGCAAGUGGUCCAGGCCCAGAAGCAGCACCAGAUCAUGAUGCUCCCUCCACCGUACUUCACCGUUGGGAUGAUAUUUUCAUGAAGAGCUGGCCAGAUCCAGCUCCGUUCCUGCUUGGUGUUGGACUCCACUGCUACGUGUCGCUGAGUGAUGACGACAAACUACAGCUAGCCAGACAUCACUUUGGUCUUUUGACUUCAGAGGAUGAACUGAUGCCAACUCCAACUGUAAGACAUCGGAUACAUCAUAUGCCACUGCCUGAACCUUGGAUUUAGGAUGGACUCCACCGAACCUCACCGAAAUGACCUACCGGUUUUUAUUUUUUUUAUUUUUUUUUUAUUUUAUUUUAAACACUGGACCCUAACGCUUACUUAAUUGACAUAUUUUAAACUCUGACUUAAAUAACUAAUAUUGGCAUUAUAUUCAUGUUGUUUCGCCAGAGGGGAACUGGCCCCCACAGUGAGUCUCCCAAGGUUAUUUUUCUCCAUGAACCAACAUCUUAUGGAGUUUUGUGUUCCUUGCCACAGUCACCUUCAGCUUGCUCACAGGGGUUCUAAAUACAAUUAUUAUUUAUUUAAUUUUUAUACACAAUUUACAAUCAUAUUUAAUCAUACUACUCAAUAAUCACUCUAAGACUUUAUAGAUAUUACAGUUUCAUUUUUUCUUUUUUUUUUUUUUUAAUUCAUGAUUUCCUGUAAAGCUGCUUUGAAACAAUGUGUGUUGUGAAAAGCGCUAUACAAAU